GUGGAGUCACUGUUGGGAGAG
Molecule: non-coding RNA, 21 nt
Filed under: Arabidopsis thaliana (thale cress)
Lineage: Eukaryota; Viridiplantae; Streptophyta; Magnoliopsida; Brassicales; Brassicaceae
Source: RNAcentral